GCUGGACGAGAAAGAAUCGCCGGGGAGGGGAGAGAGGGGCCCACGAUCUCCUGUGACUCAGUCACCCUGGCGUCUCCAUUUGACAAAUGAUGAAGCAGGAGCCUCAGAAAACAAUGUAUUGUCCAUCUUUAGCUAAGAGAGGUGAAUGGGAAGGCAAAUGGACCAGGAGGAGCCCUUGCGAUAAUCUUCAAAAAAAUCUGACAUGUCUAUGUUACUGCUACUGGGCAAGCUCUCAGCCCAGAGUCUUAUACACAAACUCUUCUGAACUCCAAACCCAUCUAUCCAACAGCCUACCAGAUGUCUCCACCAAGAUGUCUAAUAGCACAAACUCAGCAUAUCCGAAACAGAAUUCCUGAUUUAUGUCCCCACGCCCCACCUCCUGGAAAUUUGCUCUUCCCCAUCUCAGUUAAUGACGUCCUUCCAAUGGCUCAGGUCAAAAAUCUUGGUGUCAUCUGUGAUUCUCCUUCCUCUCACCCGCACGUCAAAUCCAUGAGAAACUUCUCUUCUGAUGGCUCCUGACUCCACUCCAGCCACAUCCUCGGAAUUCCUCAGACACAUCAGGCGCACUCCUGCCUCAUGGCCUUUGUACUGGUUGGCCCCUCUGCCUGAUCUCUCUGCCCUUUUGCAUCUUCUUGGCUUAAACGUCCCUUUCUCGGUGGAGCCCACCCUGCCACCCUAUUUAGAUGGCAAACCUCCCCCAUGCCAGCACCUCCAAUCUCCCUUGUUCUUUUUUUUCACAUUGUACUUACUUCUAGAAACCUAUAUGAUAUGCUUAUGUACGUACCACAGCUGGUCUGGCUGCUUGGCAGCUCUUACAGGGAGAUAAGGAGCUGUGGGUCUGCAGGACACACAGGAAGAGGGAACAAAAUUGAAUGGGGUCAAGAGAAUGAGAAGACAAGUCACAGACUGAGAGAAAAUCUUUGCAAAAGUCAUAGUUGAUAAAGGACUGGUAUCCAAAAUAUACAAAGAACCCUUAAAACUCAACCAUAAGAAAACAAACAACCUAAUUCAAAAAUGGGCAACAGACCUGAACAGACACCUAGCCAAAUAAGAUAUACACAUGGCGAAUAAGCAUAUGAAAAUAGGCAACAUCAUAUCCUUAUGGAUUUGAAAAUUAAAACAACAAUGAGAUGCCGCCACAUACCUAUUAGAAUGGGCACAAUCUAGAAAACUGGCAUCAUCAAAUGCUGGAGAGGAUAUGGAGCAACAGGAACUCUCAUUCAUUGCUGGUAGGAAUGCAAAAUGGUACAGCCACUCUGGAAGACAGUUUGGCAGUUUCUUAUAAAAUUAAAUAUACCCUUACCGUAAAAUCCAACAGUCGUGCUCCUUGGUAUUUACUCAAAUGAGUUGAAAACUUAUGUCCACACAAAAACCUGCACACAGAUAUCUAUAGCAGCUGUAUUCAUAAGUGUCCAAACUUGGAAACAACCAACAUGUCCUUCAGUAGGUAAAUGGAUAAAUUGCGAUACAUCCAGAUAAUGGGAUAUUAUUCAGUGCUGAAAAGAAAUGAGCUCUCAAGCCAUGAAAAGACAUGAAUAUUAAUCAUGGAUAAAGACAAAUGCAUAUUACUAAGUGAAAUAAGCCAAUCUGGAAAGGCUACAGACUGUAUGAUUCCAAUGGGACAUUCUGGAAAAGGCAAAACUAUGGAGAUAGCUAAAAUAAUGAGUGGUUUCCAGGGGCUGGAGGGAGGGAGAGAUGAGUGAAACACAGGGGAUUUUUAGGGCAGUGAAACUCUUCUGUAUGAUGCUGUAAUGAUGGAUAUAUGCCAUUAUCCAUCUGUCCAAACCCAUAGAAUGUACAACACCAAGGGUGAACCCUAAUGUGAACUAUGGACUUUGGGUGAUAACCACAUCUCCAUGUAGGUUCACUGACUAUAAUAAAUGUAACAUUCU
Balaenoptera ricei (Rice's whale) is the source of this 1892-nucleotide long non-coding RNA. RefSeq lists it as uncharacterized. Lineage: Eukaryota; Metazoa; Chordata; Mammalia; Artiodactyla; Balaenopteridae. The record is from RefSeq and is a predicted model, not a curated record. The transcript is spliced from 4 exons.